RNAcentral lists this long non-coding RNA (1034 nucleotides) under Homo sapiens (human). RNAcentral's name for it is "HSALNT0382477". The record is from RNAcentral. Lineage: Eukaryota; Metazoa; Chordata; Mammalia; Primates; Hominidae.
ACCUUGUGAUCUGCCUGCCUUGGCCUUCCAAAGUGCUGGAAUUACAGGCAUAAGCCACUGUGCCCGGCCCGGAUUUUUUCCAGAGAAGUAAACCAGGGGGAAAUUUGGAAAAAGACACACAAACCCAGACACCAACAUCUGGAAACCUGGGAGAAAGCCAUGUGCAGACGAAGGCAGAAACUGGGGUAAUGCUUCUACAAGCUAAGGAACACCAAAUGCUCCUGCAAGCUAAGGAACGCCAAAGAUUGCCAGCAAACCACCAGAAGCUAGGGGAGAGGAAUGGCACAGAUUCUUCCUCACAGUCCACAGAAGGAACCAAACCUACCAACACCUUUAUAUGGGAUGUCUAGCCUCUAGAACUGUAAAAUAAUAAAUUUAUGUUUGGCAGUCCUGGGAAACUAAUACAAUCAGUAUUCCAGUUGGGAGGUAAUUUUGAUUUUAAAUUUUAUUAUUUAUUAUUUUAUUAUACCUUAUAUUAAGUAAUUGUCAUCAUCUUCAUUCCCAAAAAGUCUAUGAGAAACAAUAGUUUUUUUUGAUGCAGUCCUAAAUUAAGGUCAAGUGAGGAAAUUAGGAUCACUGAGCCUUCAGAAGUAGCAUUUUAACAAGCUUAAUCUUUUUUUUUUUUUUUUUUUACAGCCCAGAGGUCUUUUAUUUAUUUAUUAACACCUGUUAUGCCAUGAAUUCAUAGGGAAUAGGUUCCAGCAGCUCAGGCUCCUUCGCAUUGGUUCUCACAAAGUGUGCUUCUCUGGGUGGAGCAGGCUGGUGCUUCUGUUGAACCCAGGUACCUUUCUAUUUGGCUUCCUUCUUUUUCUGAUCAUUUUCCUUCAUGUGUUUCAGGAAACUAUCUCAGCUUUUAGAGUGCUUAAUGUGCUCAAUACGCACAUUAAUUCUCUUGGCAAGAAUCUUGCCCUUAACUUGUGUGUUUACAACAAUGCCAACAGCAUGCUGGGGGACAUUAUAGACUCUUCCAGUUUUGCCAUGGUAACACUUGUGGGGCAUUCCUUUUUGAACAGUACCCAUUCCCUUGAUGUCUA